Molecule: ribosomal RNA, 773 nt
Filed under: uncultured Neocallimastigales
Lineage: Eukaryota; Fungi; Neocallimastigomycota; Neocallimastigomycetes; Neocallimastigales
Description: partial large subunit ribosomal RNA
Rfam family: Eukaryotic large subunit ribosomal RNA
Source: RNAcentral
CAUAGCGACUAUCGUGGCAUAUCAAUAAGCGGAGGAAAAGAAACUAACAAGGAUUCCCUUAGUAACGGCGAGUGAAGCGGGAAGAGCUCAAAUUUGAAAUCUUCAAGGUUCUACCUUGACGAAUUGUAGUUUAUAGAAGUGUUUUCUGUUAGUAGAGUGGCAAAAGUUCUUUGGAAUAGGACAUCAUAGAGGGUGAGAAUCCCGUAUUUGGUCAUUCCUCCUAGCGUUGUGAUACACUUUCAACGAGUCGGAUUGUUUGGGAAUGCAGUCCAAGAUGGGUGGUAAAUUUCAUCUAAAGCUAAAUAUUGGCGAGAGACCGAUAGCGAACAAGUGCCGUGAGGGAAAGAUGAAAAGAACUUUGAAAAGAGAGUUAAACAGUACGUGAAAUUGUCAAAAGGGAAGCGUUUGACACCAGUGUUGUUUUUCCGAAAAUCAAUUACGAAUGUUUUGUUUUGAGAAGUUAUGACUUCAUCGGCUUGCUUCUCUCUUUACGAAACUUUCUUAAUGCACUUUUCGGUUAACAAGUCAACAUCAAUUUCUUUUGUUGUAAAAGGGUACGAGGAAGGUGGCUUUCUUUUCGGAGAAAGUGUUUAUAGCCUUGUACCUCUGCAAUCGGAGAGAUUGAGGUCUGCAGCGUAGAUCCUUCGGGGUUAGAUACAUUUGUGCUAAGUUAUAGCUUUUCAUAGACAACUUGCUGACUAUGUUAAGUCUUGUAGCUUACUCGCUUAUGCUAUUUUACCUACGCUUAGGAUGUUGAUAUGCAUGACUGAUAU